UACGGAAGGUCCGGGCGUUAUCCGGAUUUAUUGGGUUUAAAGGGUGCGCAGGCGGAUUUUUAAGUCAGCGGUCAAAUCGUGGGGCUCAACCCCAUCCAGCCGUUGAAACUGGGGAUCUAGAGUGUGCGAGAGGUAUGCGGAAUGCGUGGUGUAGCGGUGAAAUGCAUAGAUAUCGCGCAGAACUCCGAUUGCGAAGGCAGCAUGCCGGCUCCACACUGACGCUGAGGCACGAAAGCGUGGGUAUCGAACAGG
RNAcentral lists this ribosomal RNA (252 nucleotides) under uncultured Bacteroidales bacterium. RNAcentral's name for it is "partial 16S ribosomal RNA". It matches the Rfam family "Bacterial small subunit ribosomal RNA", at positions 524 to 776 of the family's 1533-position model. The record is from RNAcentral. Lineage: Bacteria; Pseudomonadati; Bacteroidota; Bacteroidia; Bacteroidales.